RNAcentral lists this ribosomal RNA (479 nucleotides) under uncultured anaerobic ammonium-oxidizing bacterium. RNAcentral's name for it is "bacterial SSU rRNA". It matches the Rfam family "Bacterial small subunit ribosomal RNA", at positions 364 to 833 of the family's 1533-position model. The record is from RNAcentral.
UUUCGCAAUGCCCGAAAGGGUGACGAAGCGACGCCGCGUGUGGGAAGAAGGCCUUCGGGUUGUAAACCACUGUCGGGAGUUAGGAAAUGUAAGGGUGCUAAUAGUAUCCUUACUUGACUAAGGCUCCGGAGGAAGCCACGGCUAACUCUGUGCCAGCAGCCGCGGUAAUACAGAGGCGGCAAGCGUUGUUCGGAAUUAUUGGGCGUAAAGAGCACGUAGGCGGCCUUGCAAGUCAGUUGUGAAAGCCUUCUGCUUAACGGAAGAACAGCAGCUGAUACUGCAAGGCUAGAGUGCGGAAGGGGAGAGUGGAACUUCUGGUGGAGCGGUGAAAUGCGUAGAUAUCAGAAGGAACACCGGCGGCGAAGGCGACUCUCUGGCCCGUAACUGACGCUGAGUGUGCGAAAGCUAGGGGAGCAAACGGGAUUAGAUACCCCGGUAGUCCUAGCCGUAAACGAUGGGCACUAAGUAGAGGGGUUUUA